GAUGAACGCUGGCGGCGUGCCUAAUACAUGCAAGUCGAGCGAACAGACGCGGAGCUUGCUCCUCUGACGUUAGCGGCGGACGGGUGAGUAACACGUGGAUAACCUACCUAUCAGACUGGGAUAACUUCGGGAAACCGGAGCUAAUACCGGAUAAUAUAUUGAACCGCAGGGUGCAAUAGUGAAAGACGGUUUUGCGGUCACUUAUAGAUGGAUCCGCGCCGCAUUAGCUAGUUGGUAAGGUAACGGCUUACCAAGGCAACGAUGCGUAGCCGACCUGAGAGGGUGAUCGGCCACCCUGGAGCGGAGCCGCGGUCCAGGCUCCUACGGUAGGCAGCAGUAUGGAACCUUCCGCAACGGGGGGAAGCCUUGCGGAGCGACGCCGCGUGAGUUGUGAAGGUCUUCGGAUCGUAAAACCCUGUUAUUAGGGAAGAACAAAUGUGUAAGUAACUAUGCACGUCUUGACGGUACUUAAUCAGAAAGCCACGGCUAACUACGUG
This 497-nucleotide ribosomal RNA is filed under the name uncultured bacterium. Its description in RNAcentral is "partial 16S ribosomal RNA". It matches the Rfam family "Bacterial small subunit ribosomal RNA", at positions 28 to 507 of the family's 1533-position model. The record is from RNAcentral.